Molecule: non-coding RNA, 149 nt
Organism: Spinacia oleracea (spinach)
Lineage: Eukaryota; Viridiplantae; Streptophyta; Magnoliopsida; Caryophyllales; Amaranthaceae
Source: Rfam
UUGGGUUCACUUCAGUUUAGUUAAGAUUAAAAAUGGUGCUAAUACGAUAUGUGCAUUGUUAGUAAAUAUGAAUCCUAUAAUAAUUGGUUCCCCUCGCUAUCCAGUGUUGAUUAUUUUGUGCUACAUUUGGACGUUGGGUAACUACAUGG